This 543-nucleotide ribosomal RNA is filed under the name uncultured archaeon. RNAcentral's name for it is "bacterial SSU rRNA". It matches the Rfam family "Bacterial small subunit ribosomal RNA", at positions 509 to 1050 of the family's 1533-position model. The record is from RNAcentral.
CAGCCGCCGCGGUAAUACGUAGGGUGCAAGCGUUAUCCGGAAUUAUUGGGCGUAAAGAGCUCGUAGGCGGUUCGUCGCGUCCGGUGUGAAAGUCCAUCGCUUAACGGUGGAUCUGCGCCGGGUACGGGCGGGCUGGAGUGCGGUAGGGGAGACUGGAAUUCCCGGUGUAACGGUGGAAUGUGUAGAUAUCGGGAAGAACACCAAUGGCGAAGGCAGGUCUCUGGGCCGUUACUGACGCUGAGGAGCGAAAGCGUGGGGAGCGAACAGGAUUAGAUACCCUGGUAGUCCACGCCGUAAACGGUGGAUGCUGGAUGUGGGGCCCAUUCCACGGGUUCCGUGUCGGAGCUAACGCGUUAAGCAUCCCGCCUGGGGAGUACGGCCGCAAGGCUAAAACUCAAAGAAAUUGACGGGGGCCCGCACAAGCGGCGGAGCAUGCGGAUUAAUUCGAUGCAACGCGAAGAACCUUACCUGGGCUUGACAUGUUCCGGACAGCCUCGGAGACGGGGCCUCCCCUCGGGGCCGGUUCACAGGAGGUGCAUGGCC